GGAUUAUGUGGAUUAAUUCGAUGCAACGACGAAAACCUUACCUACCCUUGACAUGCUAGGAACUUGCCAGAGAUGGCUUGGUGCCCGAAAGGGAACCUAGACACAGGUGCUGCAUGGCUGUCGUCAGCUCGUGUCGUGAGAUGUUGGGUUAAGUCCCGCAACGAGCGCAACCCUUGUCAUUAAUUGCCAUCAUUCAGUUGGGCACUUUAAUGAGACUGCCGGUGACAAACCGGAGGAAGGUGGGGAUGACGUCAAGUCCUCAUGGCCCUUAUGGGUAGGGCUUCACACGUAAUACAAUGGUUGGUACAACGAGUUGCGAGUCGGUGACGGCGAGCUAAUCUCUUAAAGCCAAUCUCAGUUCGGAUUGUAGGCUGCAACUCGCCUACAUGAAGUCGGAAUCGCUAGUAAUCGCGGAUCAGCACGCCGCGGUGAAUACGUUCCCGGGCCUU
This 449-nucleotide ribosomal RNA is filed under the name uncultured Candidatus Nitrotoga sp. RNAcentral describes it as "bacterial SSU rRNA". It matches the Rfam family "Bacterial small subunit ribosomal RNA", at positions 934 to 1382 of the family's 1533-position model. The record is from RNAcentral. Lineage: Bacteria; Pseudomonadati; Pseudomonadota; Betaproteobacteria; Nitrosomonadales; Gallionellaceae.